RNAcentral lists this long non-coding RNA (1430 nucleotides) under Hordeum vulgare. RNAcentral's name for it is "long non-coding RNA (HVUL_LNC019169)". Lineage: Eukaryota; Viridiplantae; Streptophyta; Magnoliopsida; Poales; Poaceae. The record is from RNAcentral.
GUAGUAGUCUGCUAGAUGGCAAAAGCUAAAGCGGAAAUAUGUGAGCAAUAGUAGUAGUUGACAGAGAUUGUGAAGUACAAUAGUUGGCUACCUCGAGUACAUCUUGAUGCAAGUUUGCAACUGAAAUAGGUCAUGAGAGGGUCCUCUUGCAACUCGACCUAUACGUACAUUAAAAUUUCAUCAUUGAUUUCAUAUACUGAAAAUUGAGGAUAUAAUCUAUGAUACUAACGAUGACCAGUAGUGAUGACCCUGCUUAUUAGUUUACAUGAGCACAAACUCAUGCACCAAAGCUUACAGCAAGGCGAUAAUAAUUAGGUUUAAAUAGAAUAUGAUGUUCCUUGCACACAAAUUAGUAGUGAUUCAAAAAACUUCAGAUUGUAGUCUGGAAUUAAAUAAAAUGCCAACUACACAGACAAAUAUUUAUGGAUCUUAGUUAUUUGAUGGGGAAGAUAGACAUGGGGAUAAAUGACAUUCUUAUCAAGCUUAACAACGGACGACACUAUUUCCCAUAUUUGUUUGUCAGAGAUAUAGGUAUUCAAAUCACAACGUGUAAAAGAGGUGAACUAACAAACAAAACCAUCAUACUUAAAAAACGUAAAGGUAAGCAUGGAGAUGAUAUUUGUUUGCAAUAUGGAUAGCAGAUAUUAUCUACAAAGUUAACAAAUACAAUUAAAUGAAGAGUAGAAGCUCGGAAAAUCUAGUGCUGGAAAACCCAUCGGAAAGCAUGUGCGUGUGCUUUUCACUAAAGUUCUUAACAUUUUUUUCUGCGUUGCUUUUUACAGAGCUUCUUAGCAGGAUGACUGAGAGGCAAAUGGACGAAUAUGAAGCAUUUAGUGAUGGAUGCAGGUUUGCCGACGUAAAAGCCUUUUUUGUUUUGUGCUGUGGGCAAGACAAAUAAGUACGCAUGAUAUUGAUGGAGACUCAUAAGAUGAGAAGAACAGGGUCGAUCCUUUUGCCUCGUCCAUGGAAACACCCAUGAGUUUCACCUGAUCACCUGUGAAAAACGUCACACUUCGCCUGAUCAGCAAGUGGGAGGCAACAACUUUAAUAUUCAUUUGUUGAUACAAUAAUUCUAUAUUCAGAAGUAGAAACAUGAGCUUAUGCAGUUGCCGAUCAAGUAUACAGUAGAAAUCCACAAAAUUGGUUGUGUUAAAAUAAUUCACAAAAUUAUUCACAAAAUUGGUUGUGUUAAAAUAAUUCUAUAUUCAGAAGUAGAAAUCCACAAAAUUGGUUGUGUUAAAAUAAUUCCUGUAAGCAAACAAAAAUUGCAGUUUGUAGUGAAAAAUCUCACCUGCAGUUCCAUAUCCAAUUCCAAUAUAUGAGACUGAGUGCAAGUAUAUAGCAAGAAAAAAAAUCAAGAGUGAAAGCGGGUAUUUUUUACCAACCUAUAUAUGCAAGAAAUGCAUAUCGCUAAGUUUGUAUCUUCUAAC